RNAcentral lists this ribosomal RNA (344 nucleotides) under Listeria monocytogenes. RNAcentral's name for it is "bacterial SSU rRNA". It matches the Rfam family "Bacterial small subunit ribosomal RNA", at positions 1 to 323 of the family's 1533-position model. Lineage: Bacteria; Bacillati; Bacillota; Bacilli; Caryophanales; Listeriaceae. The record is from RNAcentral.
UAUUAUGAGAGUUUGAUCCUGGCUCAGGACGAACGCUGGCGGCGUGCCUAAUACAUGCAAGUCGAACGCUUCUUUCCUCCCGAGUGCUUGCACUCAAUUGGAAAGAGGAGUGGCGGACGGGUGAGUAACACGUGGGUAACCUACCCAUCAGAGGGGGAUAACACUUGGAAACAGGUGCUAAUACCGCAUAACAGUUUAUGCCGCAUGGCAUAAGAGUGAAAGGCGCUUUCGGGUGUCGCUGAUGGAUGGACCCGCGGUGCAUUAGCUAGUUGGUGAGGUAACGGCUCACCAAGGCCACGAUGCAUAGCCGACCUGAGAGGGUGAUCGGCCACACUGGGACUGAG